CGCCGUCGCCUCCUUCUCCUCCGCCGCUCAGUCCGUCUAUGGCUGGUUCGGCGAUAAAUUGAGGGACUGGGGCUUCAAUAUGGAAAAGACCCAACAAUAACUAAAGUUUGUGAAUGUCUUUAUAUGGACCAAAGGGUUCGGAAAUGAACAUUGUAUGCCAUUUAAAUUUGUUUCCUAAUGUAUAAUUUGUACCCAUAUAUAUAAAUAUGUAUGUAUGCCUUCAAACAGAAUAACAUGAGUUGGAAUAUCUCUAACUAUAUAUGUUUCCUAA
Tarenaya hassleriana is the source of this 271-nucleotide long non-coding RNA. RefSeq lists it as uncharacterized. The transcript has 2 exons. Lineage: Eukaryota; Viridiplantae; Streptophyta; Magnoliopsida; Brassicales; Cleomaceae. The record is from RefSeq and is a predicted model, not a curated record.